Molecule: ribosomal RNA, 484 nt
Filed under: uncultured bacterium
Lineage: Bacteria
Description: partial 16S ribosomal RNA
Rfam family: Bacterial small subunit ribosomal RNA
Source: RNAcentral
AUUGAACGCUGGCGGCAGGCCUAACACAUGCAAGUCGAGCGGAUGAAGGGAGCUUGCCCCUGGAUUCAGCGGCGGACGGGUGAGUAAUGCCUAGGAAUCUGCCUGGUAGUGGGGGAUAACGUCCGGAAACGGGCGCUAAUACCGCAUACGUCCUGAGGGAGAAAGUGGGGGAUCUUCGGACCUCACGCUAUCAGAUGAGCCUAGGUCGGAUUAGCUAGUUGGUGGGGUAAAGGCCUACCAAGGCGACGAUCCGUAACUGGUCUGAGAGGAUGAUCAGUCACACUGGAACUGAGACACGGUCCAGACUCCUACGGGAGGCAGCAGUGGGGAAUAUUGGACAAUGGGCGAAAGCCUGAUCCAGCCAUGCCGCGUGUGUGAAGAAGGUCUUCGGAUUGUAAAGCACUUUAAGUUGGGAGGAAGGGCAGUAAGUUAAUACCUUGCCGUUUUGACGUUACCAACAGAAUAAGCACCGGCUAACUUCGUG